Solenopsis invicta (red fire ant) is the source of this 5661-nucleotide long non-coding RNA. RefSeq lists it as uncharacterized. Lineage: Eukaryota; Metazoa; Arthropoda; Insecta; Hymenoptera; Formicidae. The record is from RefSeq and is a predicted model, not a curated record. The transcript has 2 exons.
CCUGUAUAGAAUCGCACAAAAGAACAUAGUACUACGUGCCAGGACGUGGCAAGAGGACGUAAUCGGAGAUGGUGGUAACAGAGCAGUGACUCGUGUUAUUCUACAAUAACUCAAGAGACUGAUCCUCGAUGGGAGAUUUGAACGUGAAAAGCAGAGGAGGCUUAAUUCUUUGCAAUCCGGAUUACGAAUAAUUAAAAAUAGACAAAAUUUUGACGACGCAGCGCAAUUCACUAAUGCGUUUAACGCCUUCACAGGUAUUGUCCGACACAUAAAUCUAUUAUAUAAAUUUGAGCAUUAAUAAAUUAUAAUUUGAAUAAUUUAUUAACGUUCAUGUUUUUAGAUAUUUAUUACAGUUAGUUCAAACGAUCGGAUACAUUCAUAUGUUUGUGUUAAUUUCAAGUUAUUAAAAAUAAUCUUUAUUGAUGUUAUGAAAUAUCAUAGUAGGUUAGAGAUGCAGUAAUAUUCUUAACGUGAUAAUCCAGGUGAGCUGACGUUAUUUUAUCAUUAUUGUAAAACGUCAUAAAAAUUUGAUGUCAAACAACGUUGACAAACAACGUUAGCUUACCUGAAAUAAGACUGCAAAGAGUUAAGAUUAUCGGAAUUAGCUGAAAAAAGAAGUUGGAAUGGAGAAUGGAGAAGCCAACCAAGACAAUCGCCUAAAGUUUCUACAACUCCAAAUCUCAACGGUAAUAAAUAUUUGAGAUCAAAUAAUUAUUAGUUUGAUAAGAAAAUAAUUUUUGUUUGAUAAUAAAACAAUUUUUGUUUAUCAUUAUUGGUAAUAGUACACUGCGAUAUAUCAUAAAGAUGAUCUUUAUUGAAUUAAUUUUAGAAAUCGAUAUUACUGAAAUAUCAAAAAAAUUAAUAUAACUGAAAUUUUAAUCAGAUAACUAUACAAGUAAUUAAAAAAAUAUGAUCCACGGUAUAUAAACAAAAGUAAACGUUUAAUUUAAGAAAAAAACAUGCUACGAUGUAUAAAUUUAUAUUCAAUGAUUACAUCGCUUAGAUUUAUAAAUAUUUAAUCAACUCAUUUUUGCUAUAACAGAAGUGUAUAAAGUGUACAGAGACGAAAAAUAGCAAAAAUAAAACAAGAACAAAAAGAAAAAGGGCAGAAGUAGAAAGACAGGAGCAAGCAAAAGUUUGGAAGAGAAAGUAGUCUGAAGGAACUAUGUGUAGGAUCAGAGAAUAGAUGUCUUGCUUCUGAAACGAUCUGAGGCGCAGAAUGGAUGGUUGGACAGACAGAUGGAUAAAUAGUUAAAUGAAUGGAUGAACGGAUGUAUCAUGGAUAAAAGGAUGGAUGAAUGGGACAAAUAAAUAAGUGGAUAGAUGAGUAAACGGAUAAACGUAUGGAUGGAUGUAUGGAUGAAUGGACGAGUGGAAUUUUGCGGAGAGUAAUUUGAAAAUUCGAGAGCAAACGGGCUAAAUUAAUGUCACCGACCUAGAUUUCGAAAGAGAUUACACAUCUUCUUUCCGUAUCCGAGAGAUCCGAGCGUGCAUCGUAGUGGCGGCUUUUAGGACCUCCGGACGAGUUUCGAAUCGCGACGGGUUCGUGACUAAUUUGCAAAAAGGAGACGCCUGAAAAACGGUCCGCAUCGACCUUAUAUCCGUUCACGACACAGGACAUAAAACCGGAGCGUCAUCACGAUCAAUUUUCUUUUAACGCUUUUCAAUUUUGUUUUGUUUUUAUUAAAAAUAACGUUUAUCGCGUUUAGAAAAAUGUCUCGACCAAAUAUCGAAUCGAAAAAGAAUGUAAUUUUCUGAAAUCUUGCAAUUAGUUUCAGAAAGUAACGUUGGACUUCAGAGUCCCAGUGAGGCAAGUAAUUAACAGCCUGUUUGAGUAAUAAUUUAUAAUAGUGAUAUUCUAUCCAUUUUCAUCUAUAACUAGAAGAUAAAGAAUUUAAAUAAUAUCUAAAAAAAAUAAAAAAAAAAAAUAAAAGUGAUUGUAAUAAAUCAAGUUUUUUCGAAAGCACUGUAAAUCCUCGUUAUUUCAUAGUAUUCACAAUUGAAAAGCGUUAAAUAGAUGUUUUCACUUUUUAAUGACUUAUACUUUUAAUGUUUAAUUACUACUUAAAACAAUUAUAGAAACAUCGUCACGAUUAAAGAUAACACAUGUAUAUCUAUAAAAAAGCGGGACAUACCUUAAGACUUACUACAAAGAUACUACACUCUAAAGAUUAAGCGAUAAAAUUUAAUGUUAGCUUAAUAAUGAAAAUCGUACAGCUAACAUAUGUGACGGUGGCUUAGUUAAAUCUUACUGUAUAAACCGAGCGCACUUACUUCUGGCUAAUUUAAUUAAUUAAUUAAUCCUUACUCGGUGAUCGAUCUUACUGCGCGCCAUCUCGAUUGCUGGAAAGCUUAAAGUCACCGCUAUAAAAUUAACAAAUUGUAAUAUAUAAUCAAAACUAUGGAGAUACAACCGGCACGAGGUACGCGCAUGGGGAGAUUCCGGCCGAAAGUUGUGCGCGUCCACUCUUGCACCCAUUCCCUUGCAUUCUCUUUCGCUUUCUGCCAUUCUCUCGCACUCUUUCUUCCCCAUUUCCCGUCUACUCGCGCACUCAUGGAAAAACCUGUUUCUCUCGGCCGUUCGGAGGACAUCGAUGGUCCUUUUUAGCGUCUAUAAGGAUGGUAAUUCGUAUGUUGGGUCAAGGAAAAUCGUUGGGGACCAGGGGCUGCGUCUCCGUUGGGAAUGAAGGCCGGACUUCCGGUUUCGACGUUUUUGAAUUUGGGGAUCGGGAUAUCUGCGGAGGAAGAAAAGGUAGGAAAGAUCGUUAGAGCUCGUUUCAUCUCUGGGAACGCACUUACCUCCCUCGAGAGCCACUCCUCCGGAAAUAAUUCUCGAGCGAGUUUCGUGCAACGGUCGAGGAUAGUAGAGAUGACAGAAAAAGGAUUAAAGAGGGGAGAGAGAAAGGUGGACAAGGUUCGAGUAUUUUUCUCGUCGAGGAUGAUCUUACUUCAAGUGGCUGAGUAUACGGUCUCAUGAAGCUCCUAAUUUAACCCUUUAACCGAGUAUUCGUUUUCAUAAUAUUAACACUAUAAUUAUAUCUAUGUCCAUUGCAGCCUAAUAAUCUAAGUCUUAUCUAAAAUUAUUAUUUACGAUAAUAUGCGAAUUCAAAAACAUCGUACAUUAUAAUAUAUAUAUAAAUAUAUAAGUCUCUAUAUCAAAUAGCUUAAAUUAGAAAUCGUAUUAUCUAAAAAUUUAACCUGAGUCUUAUUUAAUUGAAAAUUAUAUGUGUAUUUAUAAAAGUGUCAUUUUGAUCGAUGCACUUCUAGACGAGAUUUUUUCGUCAUUUACGUAUAUAUCUAUAUCUACAUAUACGUGUAAGUUAUAUCUACAUAGUAAUAUAUGAAACUAUGUUACGAUCUUUAACGUUGAAAAUUAUACGCAUAUUAAAAGUACGAACGCCAGAGAAAUAUUUUAACUGCCUGCCCGGUUAAUGGGUUAAGUGUACUUAGAGAUUAAGCUUCGAUUUACAUGUCAACACUAAUGAUUCAAAUGAUGCAAAUCUAUUACGGAAUCAUUAAACUAAAGAGAAAGCUUUAAAAAAAAGUUUUUAAAACAAAUCUGUACUUAACUUGCGCAUAGUAGCUUCAAUCAUGUUUAAAUAAAUAUACGGAAGUGCUGACAUGUCUAGUACCAGAUCAACUCGAAACUGAGACUUCACCGUUGCAACGCGAAAUAAUUCGUAAUAAAAAAAAAUGCAAACGUUCUUUCCAGUGUAACAACUCUGGAUAUAAUAAUUAUAUUAUACAGAAUGAGACGCCUCAGAUUCGAGAGAACAUGGCAGGAUAUGUUGGGACGCGCAUAAAACACUGCACUAAUUAAAAAAGCUUGUCUCCACCGUAUCCGGUACGUUCUGUCUGCGGCAAUGAAAAUCCAUAGAAUCCAAUCAAUACUUUUUUAACAGUGGACCACCUCUGUAAUUUCGUUCUCUCGUUAAUGACAGCGGCACCGUGCAUACGAAAAUUGUCGCGAUAUCGAUUCGAUAAAUGUCCGCAUAAAAAGUGUCAAAACUGCGCGUCAAAAUUUUUUCACGUUUAAGAUAUAUUAUAAAUAUAUCCAUGAUAUAUUACUUUUGUAAUAAAGUAUCUUUUCAAGUAGGACGUUGACGUGGUCGCGUUUCGAUUGCGCCCACAUUAUCGCGUAUGCACGGUGGAAGUCGCAAUGCGUGAGAUAAUUGCAAAACAGAAGCGGCAAAAAGAAAGUAGAAGGUCGUGUGGAACGCAUAUCGGUGCCGAUGGCACUGAUCCGAGGGAUCGAAGGGGAUCGAUCGUCGGACACAGAUGCACCAUCGUAAUUAAAAUUCUAAGGAAACACAUGUAAUCCCUCCUCUCUCGCGCACUCGCAUGCUCGCUGUCAUUCAUACCAUGUAUAUACAAAUUAUAUAUAUAUUAAAUUAUAUAUAUAAAUUGUAAUUAUAUAUAUAAAUUUAAAACGAAAAAAUUCUUUAAAAUGAUAGAUACUCGAACUGAUCACUGCCACUCACAUACUGACAUCCCGCGAUAAUAACUAUAUGCUAGUACGAUCGUCAUUAGAAGAAUUUAUGCUGUGCAGUGUUUUAAGUCUCUCAACCACAUGAAAUAGUAACUAAGUAAGGUACGAUCUAAUUUUAAGUAAAGGGAUCGAGAUUAGUUCGAUUAAUAAGAUAGAAAUUUUCAUCAAUAUCAUUUUCUAUUUAAUCAUAAUUUCUCAUAAUCUAUACCAGUGUGUAUUUUUACGAAUAAUGAUCCAUUUUUUCUCUAUAUUAUAUCAUAGUAAUCAGCAUAUCAACUUAUCAUCAUUAUAUCAUUAUAUAUAUAUAUAUAUAUAUAUGUGUUGUAUAUAGAUUUAUGUAUAUAUAUAUAUAUUUAUUUAUUUAUUUAUAUAAUAUUAUAUACGUCUCAUAAUGAUCGUUAUUAAUAUUAUUAAUAUAUCUUAAGUAUCAAUUAAUCAAUUAAUCCACUAGAAACACCGUUAAGCAUAUUAAUAUAUAUAUAUUUUUUAUAUAUAUGUGUGUGUGUUCAAUGAAUAAUAAUAAUAAUAAUAGCAGUAAGAAUAAUUAUAGUAAUAAUAAUAGUAUAAGUAGUAGUUGUAAUAGUAAUAAUAGUGGUAGUAAUAAUAAUAGUACAGUAACUAUCAUAAUAGUACUGUUAUUUUAUGUGUCGUCGAGAGUGGGGGGAGGGAGUAAGGGCGUAUGGUGUAUGACGUACUCGUAUGGGCUAAAAAUAACAUGACAAAAUGACGAAAGCAAUGUAUGUACGCGCGUGUGUGCAUGCGUGCGUGUUCAUGUGUGUUCGUCCACGCUUACUGACAAAAAUUAAAUAGCAAGGUAAUCACUCCCGAAUUGUCACAUCUCAUUUAUUCAUACGUUUAUACGAUCGAUUGCAACCGAGUACAAGGAAUACAUUUCGCAGAGCAAACAUGUAAUUUAUUGUAUUUGGCGAUGCAAUCAAUUACACGUAUGUGUGAAUAAACAAAAUGUAUUAAUUAAACAAUUCACGAGCAGCUUAUUUGUUCCUUAACGUUUGUCGGCAAGCGUAUAUGUGUCAAACGCAAAAAGGAACAACGAGAAGAAAUCAGCGGAACGAGUCGAUGUCGAUCUCUUCUAUUUCGACUACCCUAUCUUUACCGUUACACAUCAGAUUGAUAGAUAUCCUUCCCUCGAAGACACGUCAAGGAUUCUUCCG